RNAcentral lists this ribosomal RNA (264 nucleotides) under uncultured archaeon. RNAcentral's name for it is "partial 16S ribosomal RNA". It matches the Rfam family "Archaeal small subunit ribosomal RNA", at positions 717 to 982 of the family's 1478-position model. The record is from RNAcentral.
ACACGACUACAUUAGAUACCCGGGUAGUCCAUGGUGUAAACGCUGCAGACUUGGUGUUGGAGGCCCUUUGGGGGCAUUCAGUGCCGGAGAGAAGUUGUUAAGUCUGCUACUUGGGGAGUACGUCCGCAAGGAUGAAACUUAAAGGAAUUGGCGGGGGAGCACCGCAACGGGAGGAGCGUGCGGUUUAAUUGGAUUCAACACCGUAAACUCACCAGGGAAGACUGUUACAUGAAGGCCGAGAUGAAGACUCUGCUAGAUUUUCAG